GUAAAUAUAGUUUCAACUCCAAAAACGCUAGACUGUGACUCUUGAGAUAGAGGUGGAAGUCCUCUUAUUCACC
This 73-nucleotide transfer RNA is filed under the name Grammatorcynus bilineatus (double-lined mackerel). Its description in RNAcentral is "tRNA-His". It matches the Rfam family "tRNA". From Rfam's summary of the family: Transfer RNA (tRNA) molecules are approximately 80 nucleotides in length. The record is from RNAcentral. Lineage: Eukaryota; Metazoa; Chordata; Actinopteri; Scombriformes; Scombridae.